GACGAACGCUGGCGGCGUGCUUAACACAUGCAAGUCGAACGGAAAGGCCCUGCUUUUUUGGUGUGCUCGAGUGGCGAACGGGUGAGUAACAUGUGAGUAACCUGCCCUUGACUUUGGUAUAACUUCAGGAAACUGGGGCUAAUACCGGAUAGGAGUUCCUGCUGCAUGGUGGGGGUUGGAAAGUUUCGGCGGUUGGGGAUGGACUCGCGGCUUAUCAGCUUGUUGGUGGGGUAGUGGCUUACCAAGGCUUUGACGGGUAGCCGGCCUGAGAGGGUGACCGGCCACAUUGGGACUGAGAUACGGCCCAGACUCCUACGGGAGGCAGCAGUGGGGAAUAUUGCACAAUGGGCGGAAGCCUGAUGCAGCGACGCCGCGUGCGGGAUGACGGCCUUCGGGUUGUAAACCGCUUUCGCCUGUGACGAAGCGUGAGUGACGGUAAUGGGUAAAGAAGCACCGGCUAACUACGUG
This 468-nucleotide ribosomal RNA is filed under the name uncultured bacterium. RNAcentral's name for it is "partial 16S ribosomal RNA". It matches the Rfam family "Bacterial small subunit ribosomal RNA", at positions 28 to 507 of the family's 1533-position model. The record is from RNAcentral.